CCUACGGGGGGCUGCAGUGGGGAAUAUUGGACAAUGGGCGAAAGCCUGAUCCAGCCAUGCCGCGUGUGUGAAGAAGGCCUUCGGGUUGUAAAGCACUUUCAGUGGGGAAGAAAGCCUUGGGGCUAAUACCCUCGAGAAAGGACAUCACCCACAGAAGAAGCACCGGCUAACUCCGUGCCAGCAGCCGCGGUAAUACGGAGGGUGCGAGCGUUAAUCGGAAUUACUGGGCGUAAAGCGCGCGUAGGCGGUCUGAUAAGCCGGUUGUGAAAGCCCCGGGCUCAACCUGGGAACGGCAUCCGGAACUGUCAGGCUAGAGUGCAGGAGAGGAAGGUAGAAUUCCCGGUGUAGCGGUGAAAUGCGUAGAGAUCGGGAGGAAUACCAGUGGCGAAGGCGGCCUUCUGGACUGACACUGACGCUGAGGUGCGAAAGCGUGGGUAGCAAACAGGAUUAGAUACCCCAGUAGUC
Molecule: ribosomal RNA, 465 nt
Filed under: Vreelandella stevensii
Lineage: Bacteria; Pseudomonadati; Pseudomonadota; Gammaproteobacteria; Oceanospirillales; Halomonadaceae
Description: partial 16S ribosomal RNA
Rfam family: Bacterial small subunit ribosomal RNA
Source: RNAcentral